CAUCACUACGCUAGAUGCAUAUCAAUAAGCGGAGGAAAAGAAACUAACAAGGAUUCCCUUAGUAACGGCGAGUGAAGCGGGAAGAGCUCAAAUUUGAAAUCUUCAAGGUUUUACCUUGACGAAUUGUAGUUUAAAGAAGUGUUUUCUGUUGAAGUUUUGGUAAAAGUUCUUUGGAAUAGGACAUCAUAGAGGGUGAGAAUCCCGUAUUUGACCAUUAUUUUCAGCUGUGUGAUACACUUUCAAAGAGUCGGAUUGUUUGGGAAUGCAGUCCAAAAUGGGUGGUAAAUUUCAUCUAAAGCUAAAUACUGGCGAGAGACCGAUAGCGAACAAGUACCGUGAGGGAAAGAUGAAAAGAACUUUGAAAAGAGAGUUAAACAGUACGUGAAAUUGUCAAAAGGGAAGCGUUUGACACCAGUGUUGUUUUCUCGAAAAUCAAUUAAAAAUGGUGGGAUUUUGUGUUGUAUUGACCUCUAUCAGCUUUCUGCACUCUUUUUCGAGUCUUUCUUAAUGCACUUUUCGGUUAACAAGUCAACAUCAAUUUCUUUUGUUGUAAAAAGGUCAUUGGAAGGUGGCUUUCUUUUCGGAGAAAGUGUUUAUAGUCUUUGACUUCUGCAAUCGGAGAGACUGAGGUCUGCAGCGUAGAUCCUUCUGGAUUAGAUUCAUUUGUGCUAAGUUACAACCGUUUAUAGACAACUUGUUGACUAUAUUCGAUCCUGUAGCUUACUCGCUUAUGUAAUUUUACCUACGCUUAGGAUGUUGAUCUACAGAGCGAGAG
This 775-nucleotide ribosomal RNA is filed under the name uncultured Neocallimastigales. RNAcentral describes it as "partial large subunit ribosomal RNA". It matches the Rfam family "Eukaryotic large subunit ribosomal RNA", at positions 20 to 640 of the family's 3401-position model. The record is from RNAcentral. Lineage: Eukaryota; Fungi; Neocallimastigomycota; Neocallimastigomycetes; Neocallimastigales.